CCGGAAGUAAGUUACACCACCAUCACAAGACAGAAGAGAAAGAAGCUUUCACACAUACCUUCCUUCUAAGACACCCAUUCACGCACUCCCUACUUCCACCCAUCUUUCUCCUCUCAACUCCCAAACUACAAGCCAAGAAUUUCCCCUCCAACAAUAUGUCUUCUCCAUAAUAAAAUAUAUUCUACAAAUGGAAGGAACAACAACAAAACCCCCACAGCAAAUCUCCGAAAUGUUUCACAAAUUUGCUAACGUUGUCAAAACCAAAACCUUCGAACUCUUCGCCGACGACAACGAAGACAACUCCAACACAGACAACAACAACACUGAUGAUGUCUUCACUCUCCUUAACUCCACCGAAGAAUUUAUCCCCGACCAAAAAGUCGUUGUAAUCAAACCCGAUUUCUGCAAAUUCCCUCAAUUAACCAACAACUUCACUAAAUCCCUUAUUUCUUCCCUCUUCGCUGCUAUUUCUUCAUUUGAAGCUUCAUAUCUUCAGUUACAAACAGCUCAUGUACCAUUUGACGAAAAUGCCCUUGAAUCAGCUGAUAAAGUUUUGGUCUCAAUUCUUCAGAAAUUAACUGAAAUGAAGAGUUUGUAUAAGGAUUUUAGGAAAAACCCUUGUUGUAAUAUUGAUUUUCUUGGCGGGUCAGAAUUGGAAUUUCAGGUUCAGGAGCAUCAGAGCAAGCUUAGAGUUUUGGAGACUAUGGUAAAUCAGUUGUUAACUUAUAUGGAAUCUAAAGAUGAAGAAGUUUCAAUUUUGAAGAAAAAAUUGGAAAAAAUUCAAGAUUUUAAUUCGAAUUUAUCGAAAAAAUUGAAGAAUAGUAGUGAGGUAUUGUGUACAAUUCGUGUUUUUGAAUCUAUGUUACGCGAUUCGAUUAAAUCAGUGAAUAAAUUUUGUAAGUUGUUGAUGGAGUUAAUGAAAAGGGCAGGUUGGGAUUUGGAGAAAGCUGCAAAUUCUGUGUAUUCUGAUGUUAAUUAUGUAGAGAAGGGGCACUAUAAAUAUGCGUUUUUGUCAUAUAUUUGUUUGGGAAUGUUUAAGGGAUUUGAUCAGGAAGACUUUGGUGUGAGUGAGGAAGAAAUGUUGUCAAAUGGAUCCUUAUCGUUUGAGAAUGAUUAUAAUUUGAAACUAUUACUUGAGCAUGUUUCAUGUAAUCCAAUGGAGACUUUGAGUAAGAAUCCUAGUUGUGCAUUUUCAAGAUUUUGUGAGAAGAAGUAUGAGCAGAUAAUUCAUCCUACGAUAGAAUCAUCAAUUUUCCGAGAUUUGGAUGGAAAGGAAGUUAUAUGUUCAUGGAAGUCGUUAAGUGUGUUUUAUGAGUUGUUUGUGAGGAUGGCUAGUUCAAUAUGGUUGCUUCAUAAGCUGGCUUAUUCGUUUAAUCCUGUAGUUGAGAUAUUCCAAGUUGAGAGUGGGGUGGACUUUUCGAUGGUGUACAUGGAAGAUGUUACAAGGAAAAGUCAGCUCCCACUGAGCAAAACGAGGCCGAAGGUGGGAUUUACUGUGGUGCCUGGGUUUAAAAUUGGGAGGACAAUCGUUCAGACACAGGUUUAUCUAACUGGUUUAAAAGGCAUGGAAGGGUAAACAAAGACAUCUGUACAGUCGUCUGGAGUUUCUUUGCUUUAUUAUGUGUUCCCACUGACCUAAACCAAGAGAUUCAUAGUGCUCCUUUUGACAGCUAACUCUCUUUGGUACCUGAAUUCAAAGAAUUCUUGUCAAAGUGAUAGACGCUGCUAUUGCCGAGGGAUAAGCCAUCUUAUAUCAUUGCAGAAGUUGGUGUCCUUGCCGGCAUGGAUUGGUAUCGAUGCCUUUUGCUAUUGUCGCUAUUGUUAGCACAUGUAUUUUUCUGAUAAGAUUGUGUCGGGCCAGCACAAUGCGUGAAACCCAGACAGACGCAAGCAUUUGUCUACGUAAUUUUAAGGCGCUUUGAUCUGGACGACUUUGGUUUUUGUAUGACAAGGAAAUUUUCUGUAAUUGCAAUGGUUCGGUAUCUGGUGAAAUGGUUGCUUACUAUUACUUGGGCAUGCUUAUGUAACCCGAUGAAAGCUUUGAGUAGGAAUGCAAGCUGUCUGCUUUUCGAAUUUCCAGUAUAAGCAAAAUAAUUCAUCCUCCAAUAGGAUCUUCAAAUUGCAGCAAUUUGGAUGAGAAAAAGGCAUAAUGAAACACAUGAAAGGCACUAAGCGUGUUUUAUGAGUUGGUUGUAAGGAUGGAUGUGCAUAUGGUUGCUUCAUAAGCUGGGGAUAUGCAUUUAUUUCCGUACCUGAGAUAUUCCAAGUUGCGAGUAGGCUGGACUUUGGAAUCGUUUACAUGGAAGAUGUUACAAGGAAAAUACUUAUUAAAAGAAAGAUGUUAUGCGGAAAAGUGAAUUCCUUUUGAGCAAGUCGAGGCCAAAGGUGGGAUUUAAUAUUAUACCUGUUUUUGUGAUUGGAAGGUGAAUCAUUUAGACUCAAGUUUAUAUAACUAGCUUUGGAUGCAGAGAGGUGUGUAAAGAAAGAGAGUAUAGUGGUGUUGUGCAAGUUCUUCGUUUCAUUUCUCCGACUUAAAACUGUGAGAUUGAGUACAUUACAUCUGUCAACAAACUCCUUUUGGUACUAUUAUCCAAACAAUUUAUGUCAAAGUGAUAGAUCCUUCUACGUUGAAGGGACAUUCGUCAAAGGCGCUGUCCCUUGCCGGACAGGAUUGGUAUGGAUUUUCUUGUCAUGGCAGAAGCUGGUUACUGGGUGACCUAAUUUGUGUAUUUACUUGCUUAGAAUUUCUAUUUUCACGGCUUCUGGUAUGUCCUAUAAAAUGUCUGUACACCUCUGGUUUAUGGGGUUUCAUUAUUGUUUUCUUUAUAAAGUGAUAGAUGCUGCUACUGC
RNA transcript from Capsicum annuum, 2850 nucleotides. It is a transcript of the gene named protein GRAVITROPIC IN THE LIGHT 1, with no coding region annotated. NCBI's taxonomy places the organism in Eukaryota, Viridiplantae, Streptophyta, Magnoliopsida, Solanales, Solanaceae. The transcript is spliced from 2 exons. The record is from RefSeq and is a predicted model, not a curated record.